RNAcentral lists this ribosomal RNA (203 nucleotides) under uncultured Chlamydiales bacterium. RNAcentral's name for it is "partial 16S ribosomal RNA". It matches the Rfam family "Bacterial small subunit ribosomal RNA", at positions 308 to 504 of the family's 1533-position model. The record is from RNAcentral. Lineage: Bacteria; Pseudomonadati; Chlamydiota; Chlamydiia; Chlamydiales.
CAACACUGGGACUGAGAACUGCCCAGACUCCUACGGGAGGCUGCAGUCGAGAAUCAUUCGCAAUGGGCGCAAGCCUGACGAUGCGACGCCGCGUGUGUGAUGAAGGCCUUCGGGUUGUAAAGCWCUUUCGCCUAAGAACAAGAGAUGCAGAAKAAUACUCUGCUGAUUUGAGAGUACUAGGUAAAGAAGCACCGGCUAACUCC